GAUGAACGCUGGCGGCGUGCCUAAUACAUGCAAGUCGAGCGAACGGACGAGAAGCGUGCUUCUCUGAUGUUAGCGGCGGACGGGUGAGUAACACGUGGAUAACCGACCUAUAAGACUGGGAUAACGUCGGGAAACCGGAGCUAAUACCGGAUAAUAUUUUGAACGGCAGGGUUCAAAAGUGAAAGACGUUCUUGCUGUCACUUAUACAUGGAUCCGCGCUGCAUUAGCUAGUUGGUAGGGUAACGGCUUACCAAGGCGACGAUGCAUAGCCGACCUGAGAGGGUGAUCGGCCACACUGGAACUGAGACACGGUCCAGACUCCUACGGGAGGCAGCAGUAGGGAAUCUUGCGCAAUGGGCGAAAGCCUGACGGAGCAACGCCGCGUGGGUGAUGAAGGUCUUCGGAUCGUAAAACUCUGUUAGUAGGGAAGAACGUAUGUGUAAGUAGCUGUGCACGUCUUGACGGUACCUACACAGAAAGCCCCGGCUAACUACGUG
This 497-nucleotide ribosomal RNA is filed under the name uncultured bacterium. RNAcentral describes it as "partial 16S ribosomal RNA". It matches the Rfam family "Bacterial small subunit ribosomal RNA", at positions 28 to 507 of the family's 1533-position model. The record is from RNAcentral.